GCACAAGCGGCGGAGCAUGCGGAUUAAUUCGAUGCAACGCGAAGAACCUUACCAAGGCUUGACAUACACCGGUAACGCCCAGAGAUGGGUGCCCCUUUGUGGUCGGUGUACAGGUGGUGCAUGGUUGUCGUCAGCUCGUGUCGUGAGAUGUUGGGUUAAGUCCCGCAACGAGCGCAACCCUCGUCCUAUGUUGCCAGCGGGUCAUGCCGGGGACUCAUGGGAGACUGCCGGGGUCAACUCGGAGGAAGUGGGGAUGACGUCAAAUCAUCAUGCCCCUUAUGUCUUGGGCUUCACGCAUGCUACAAUGGCCGGUACAAAGGGCUGCGAUACCGCGAGGUGGAGCGAAUCCCAGAAAGCCGGUCUCAGUUCGGAUUGGGGUCCGCAACUCGACCCCAUGAAGUCGGAGUCGCUAGUAAUCGCAGAUCAGCAACGCUGCGGUGAAUACGUUCCCGGGCCUU
Molecule: ribosomal RNA, 458 nt
Filed under: uncultured Curtobacterium sp.
Lineage: Bacteria; Bacillati; Actinomycetota; Actinomycetes; Micrococcales; Microbacteriaceae
Description: bacterial SSU rRNA
Rfam family: Bacterial small subunit ribosomal RNA
Source: RNAcentral